GGGGGUGUAGCUCAGUGUUAGAGCACUUGCCUAACAUGCAUGAGGCUCUAGGUUUGACUCCCAGCACUACAA
RNAcentral lists this transfer RNA (72 nucleotides) under Ictidomys tridecemlineatus (thirteen-lined ground squirrel). RNAcentral describes it as "Spermophilus tridecemlineatus (thirteen-lined ground squirrel) tRNA". It matches the Rfam family "tRNA". Rfam says of the family: Transfer RNA (tRNA) molecules are approximately 80 nucleotides in length. The record is from Rfam by way of RNAcentral. Lineage: Eukaryota; Metazoa; Chordata; Mammalia; Rodentia; Sciuridae.